Molecule: long non-coding RNA, 476 nt
Organism: Sander lucioperca (pikeperch)
Lineage: Eukaryota; Metazoa; Chordata; Actinopteri; Perciformes; Percidae
Exons: 2
Source: RefSeq, a predicted model, not a curated record
CAGGUUGUUUCAGUCCACUGAGCGAUGUGCAGAAAUAAUUACUAAAUCUAAUUGCAACUUUUUACUGAAAAAACACAAAGAAAACAUUUGUAUAUUUACAGAGAAGUUCUAUUUCCAAAAGAGCUGCACCCAAGGUAACCAUCAUUUAGCAUUUUUAGUGAGAUGCUUUUGUUUAACACUGCAAAUUUAGGUCCUAUUUAAUAACACCUAGUUACCAUGUCGCUCUGUAAUAUUUCUUUUCCUAGGAUGGUGAUGGAAGGCAUGACCUGCACUACUCUGCCCCUGAUUGGCUUUCCCUGUUAUUCUUAUCCUUACCCCAACCAAUCCAACCAACAAAGGCAGCAGGUACUAGCCAAUCAGAGGCAGAAUAAGGCGGGACAUUCCUUUACCAGCCUGGGAAACUUGUCCCUCCCCGUCUAGUGGACCACCAUGGGACCUUAUAGUAUAAAAAAUAUGAACGGUAGUGAACGGAGAGA